RNAcentral lists this ribosomal RNA (482 nucleotides) under uncultured bacterium. Its description in RNAcentral is "partial 16S ribosomal RNA". It matches the Rfam family "Bacterial small subunit ribosomal RNA", at positions 30 to 507 of the family's 1533-position model. The record is from RNAcentral.
AUUGAACGCUGGCGGCAUGCCUUACACAUGCGAGUCGAACGGUAACAGGUCUUCGGAUGCUGACGAGUGGCGAACGGGUGAGUAAUACAUCGGAACGUGCCCGAUCGUGGGGGAUAACGAGGCGAAAGCUUUGCUAAUACCGCAUACGAUCUACGGAUGAAAGCGGGGGAUCUUCGGACCUCGCGCGGACGGAGCGGCCGAUGGCAGAUUAGGUAGUUGGUGGGAUAAAAGCUUACCAAGCCGACGAUCUGUAGCUGGUCUGAGAGGAUGAUCAGCCACACUGGGACUGAGACACGGCCCAGACUCCUACGGGAGGCAGCAGUGGGGAAUUUUGGACAAUAGGCGAAAGCCUGAUCCAGCCAUGCCGCGUGCAGGAUGAAGGCCUUCGGGUUGUAAACUGCUUUUGUACGGAACGAAAAGCCUCUUUCUAAUAAAGAGGGGUCAUGACGGUACCGUAAGAAUAAGCACCGGCUAACUACGUG